UUUUGGACAAUGGACGCAAGUCUGAUCCAGCCAUUCCGCGUGCAGGACGAAGGCCUUCGGGUUGUAAACUGCUUUUGUACGGAACGAAAAAGCUCUUAUUAAUACUAGGAGUCCAUGACGGUACCGUAAGAAUAAGCACCGGCUAACUACGUGCCAGCAGCCGCGGUAAUACGUAGGGUGCAAGCGUUAAUCGGAAUUACUGGGCGUAAAGCGUGCGCAGGCGGUUAUAUAAGACAGAUGUGGAAUCCCCGAGCUUAACUUGGGAACUGCAUUUGUGACUGUAUAGCUAGAGUACGGCAGAGGGGGAUGGAAUUCCGCGUGUAGCAGUGAAAUGCGUAGAUAUGCGGAGGAACACCGAUGGCGAAGGCAAUCCCCUGGGCCUGUACUGACGCUCAUGCACGAA
RNAcentral lists this ribosomal RNA (403 nucleotides) under uncultured bacterium. Its description in RNAcentral is "bacterial SSU rRNA". It matches the Rfam family "Bacterial small subunit ribosomal RNA", at positions 362 to 757 of the family's 1533-position model. The record is from RNAcentral.